UUAUGAAACAGGCAAAAUUACCGAAAGGUAAUGACGCAAAGCCAAGGGUCUAAAGUACUGUAAAUCGGUACAAUGAUAGCCGGGUUGCCAUU
This 92-nucleotide non-coding RNA is filed under the name Acetivibrio straminisolvens. Its description in RNAcentral is "Clostridium straminisolvens c-di-GMP sequence". It matches the Rfam family "c-di-GMP-I riboswitch aptamer". From Rfam's summary of the family: GEMM was predicted in a large-scale screen for bacterial structured RNA regulatory elements. The record is from RNAcentral. RNAcentral also lists the same sequence under 1 other name. Lineage: Bacteria; Bacillati; Bacillota; Clostridia; Acetivibrionales; Acetivibrionaceae.